RNAcentral lists this ribosomal RNA (704 nucleotides) under unidentified archaeon. RNAcentral describes it as "partial 16S ribosomal RNA". The record is from RNAcentral.
UGGGUCUCGCUCGUUACCUGACUUAACAGGAUGCUUUACAGUACGAACUGACGACGGCCAUGCACCACCUCUCAGCUAAUCCGGCAAAGUCUUCAGCCUGGCCUUCAUAUUGCUGUCGGUCCCGGUAAGAUUUCCGGCGUUGAAUCCAAUUAAACCGCAAGCUCCACCCGUUGUGGUGCUCCCCCGCCAAUUCCUUUAAGUUUCAGCCUUGCGGCCGUACUUCCCAGGUGGCUCGCUUCACGGCUUCCCUACGGCACCGACAACGGUCGCACCGUGGCCGACACCUAGCGAGUAUCGUUUACGGCUAGGACUACCCGGGUAUCUAAUCCGGUUCGUGCCCCUAGCUUUCGUCCCUUGCCGUCAGGUCCGUUCUGGUGAGACGCCUUCGCCACUGGUGGUCCUUCAAGGAUUACAAGAUUUCACCCCUACCCCUGAAGUACCUCUCACCUCUCCCGGCCUCGAGCCAGACAGUAUCUCCUGAAAGCCUGACAGUUAAGCUGCCAGAUUUCUCAAGAGACUUAUCCGGCCGGCUACAGACCCUUUAGACCCAAUAAUAACGGUUACCACUCGAGCCGCCGGUGUUACCGCGGCGGCUGGCACCGGUCUUGCCCGGCCCUUGCUAUGAAAUGCUUUUUAGGCAUCUCGACAGCCAGAUUUGUAACCUGGCACUCGAGGUUCCCUUAUCGCUGUUGCCAGCAUUGUAA